AUAUUUGUAAUGCUAAACGCCGAUAUAGAAAAGAUGUGGAACUUUAACCUCUGUGUGAAAAGUGUUUUAGGAUUAUGACAACCUACCCUUUUGAUAUGUGCUUCAAACUCGUCUCUCAUUCUAUUGUAUGUUAGUAUUAUGCUUUGAAGUUGGGAAUUGUUCUUAAUGUACUGAAUUAUAAUGUACAAAAUAUCUCAUGUUUAAUUUCAUUAUCUCUCUCAUCUCGCAUAGUAGUUGACGAUAACUCACGGAUGAAGUAAAGCUUUUCUUUGCUAGCUUCAGUACUUAUGGUCAGAAAAUUAAAUA
Molecule: long non-coding RNA, 306 nt
Filed under: Trifolium pratense (red clover)
Lineage: Eukaryota; Viridiplantae; Streptophyta; Magnoliopsida; Fabales; Fabaceae
Description: long non-coding RNA (TPRA_LNC003585)
Source: RNAcentral